UGGGGAAUUUUGGACAAUGGGGGCAACCCUGAUCCAGCAAUGCCGCGUGUGUGAAGAAGGCCUUCGGGUUGUAAAGCACUUUUGUCCGGAAAGAAAUCGCCCUGGCUAAUAUCCGGGGUGGAUGACGGUACUGGAAGAAUAAGCACCGGCUAACUACGUGCCAGCAGCCGCGGUAAUACGUAGGGUGCGAGCGUUAAUCGGAAUUACUGGGCGUAAAGCGUGCGCAGGCGGUUGUGCAAGACAGAUGUGAAAAUCCCCCGGGGNUUAAACCUGGGAAUGGCAUUUGUGACUGCACGGCUAGAGUGUGUCAGAGGGGGGUAGAAUUCCACGCGUAGCAGUGAAAUGCGUAGAUAUGUGGAGGAACACCGAUGGCGAAGGCAGCCCCCUGGGAUAACACUGACGCUCAUGC
RNAcentral lists this ribosomal RNA (409 nucleotides) under uncultured bacterium. RNAcentral describes it as "partial 16S ribosomal RNA". It matches the Rfam family "Bacterial small subunit ribosomal RNA", at positions 355 to 752 of the family's 1533-position model. The record is from RNAcentral.